This is a long non-coding RNA of Clupea harengus (Atlantic herring), 314 nucleotides long. NCBI's taxonomy places the organism in Eukaryota, Metazoa, Chordata, Actinopteri, Clupeiformes, Clupeidae. The record is from Ensembl.
GUGUGGUGCGGUGUGGUGUGGUGAGGUGUGGUGAGGUGUGGUAAGGUGUGGUGAGGUGUGGUGUACUGAGGCAUCCCUGGAAAAGCCACCCAAUCAGUCAGACUGCUUUUGCUAUUCUGGAGGGAAGACAAGCUCGGCUCACUUCCACUCAUCCAUCACACGCUGCCUCUGGUCGUCCCCCAACCUGUUUUCACACCAUUUCUCUCCUGCUGCUGCUAACAUGAUGAGAUAUUAUGUUUUCCACUGGCUUGAUUACCCUGUUUUCACUCCCUGGCUCUCUCGCUCACUGUCUCUCGUUCUCUCUCUCCUUCUCU